GGGUUGUGAGGUUAAGCGACUAAGCGUACACGGUGGAUGCCCUGGCAGUCAGAGGCGAUGAAGGACGUGCUAAUCUGCGAUAAGCGUCGGUGAGGUGAUAUGAACCGUUAUAACCGGCGAUUUCCGAAUGGGGAAACCCAGUGUGUUUCGACACACUAUCAUUAACUGAAUCCAUAGGUUAAUGAGGCGAACCGGGGGAACUGAAACAUCUAAGUACCCCGAGGAAAAGAAAUCAACCGAGAUUCCCCCAGUAGCGGCGAGCGAACGGGGAGCAGCCCAGAGCCUGAAUCAGUGUGUGUGUUAGUGGAAGCGUCUGGAAAGGCGUGCGAUACAGGGUGACAGCCCCGUACACAAAAAUGCACAUACUGUGAGCUCGAUGAGUAGGGCGGGACACGUGGUAUCCUGUCUGAAUAUGGGGGACCAUCCUCCAAGGCUAAAUACUCCUGACUGACCGAUAGUGAACCAGUACCGUGAGGGAAAGGCGAAAAGAACCCCGGCGAGGGGAGUGAAAAAGAACCUGAAACCGUGUACGUACAAGCAGUGGGAGCCUCUUAAUGGGGUGACUGCGUACCUUUUGUAUAAUGGGUCAGCGACUUAUAUUCUGUAGCAAGGUUAACCGAAUAGGGGAGCCGAAGGGAAACCGAGUCUUAACUGGGCGUUAAGUUGCAGGGUAUAGACCCGAAACCCGGUGAUCUAGCCAUGGGCAGGUUGAAGGUUGGGUAACACUAACUGGAGGACCGAACCGACUAAUGUUGAAAAAUUAGCGGAUGACUUGUGGCUGGGGGUGAAAGGCCAAUCAAACCGGGAGAUAGCUGGUUCUCCCCGAAAGCUAUUUAGGUAGCGCCUCGUGAAUUCAUCUCCGGGGGUAGAGCACUGUUUCGGCAAGGGGGUCAUCCCGACUUACCAACCCGAUGCAAACUGCGAAUACCGGAGAAUGUUAUCACGGGAGACACACGGCGGGUGCUAACGUCCGUCGUGAAGAGGGAAACAACCCAGACCGCCAGCUAAGGUCCCAAAGUCAUGGUUAAGUGGGAAACGAUGUGGGAAGGCCCAGACAGCCAGGAUGUUGGCUUAGAAGCAGCCAUCAUUUAAAGAAAGCGUAAUAGCUCACUGGUCGAGUCGGCCUGCGCGGAAGAUGUAACGGGGCUAAACCAUGCACCGAAGCUGCGGCAGCGACACUAUGUGUUGUUGGGUAGGGGAGCGUUCUGUAAGCCUGUGAAGGUGUACUGUGAGGUAUGCUGGAGGUAUCAGAAGUGCGAAUGCUGACAUAAGUAACGAUAAAGCGGGUGAAAAGCCCGCUCGCCGGAAGACCAAGGGUUCCUGUCCAACGUUAAUCGGGCAGGGUGAGUCGACCCCUAAGGCGAGGCCGAAAGGCGUAGUCGAUGGGAAACAGGUUAAUAUUCCUGUACUUGGUGUUACUGCGAAGGGGGACGGAGAAGGCUAUGUUGGCCGGGCGACGGUUGUCCCGGUUUAAGCGUGUAGGCUGGUUUUCCAGGCAAAUCCGGAAAAUCAAGGCUGAGGCGUGAUGACGAGGCACUACGGUGCUGAAGCAACAAAUGCCCUGCUUCCAGGAAAAGCCUCUAAGCAUCAGGUAACAUCAAAUCGUACCCCAAACCGACACAGGUGGUCAGGUAGAGAAUACCAAGGCGCUUGAGAGAACUCGGGUGAAGGAACUAGGCAAAAUGGUGCCGUAACUUCGGGAGAAGGCACGCUGAUAUGUAGGUGAAGUCCCUUGCGGAUGGAGCUGAAAUCAGUCGAAGAUACCAGCUGGCUGCAACUGUUUAUUAAAAACACAGCACUGUGCAAACACGAAAGUGGACGUAUACGGUGUGACGCCUGCCCGGUGCCGGAAGGUUAAUUGAUGGGGUUAGCGGUAACGCGAAGCUCUUGAUCGAAGCCCCGGUAAACGGCGGCCGUAACUAUAACGGUCCUAAGGUAGCGAAAUUCCUUGUCGGGUAAGUUCCGACCUGCACGAAUGGCGUAAUGAUGGCCAGGCUGUCUCCACCCGAGACUCAGUGAAAUUGAACUCGCUGUGAAGAUGCAGUGUACCCGCGGCAAGACGGAAAGACCCCGUGAACCUUUACUAUAGCUUGACACUGAACAUUGAGCCUUGAUGUGUAGGAUAGGUGGGAGGCUUUGAAGUGUGGACGCCAGUCUGCAUGGAGCCGGCCUUGAAAUACCACCCUUUAAUGUUUGAUGUUCUAACGUUGGCCCCUGAUCGGGGUUGCGGACAGUGUCUGGUGGGUAGUUUGACUGGGGCGGUCUCCUCCUAAAGAGUAACGGAGGAGCACGAAGGUUGGCUAAUCCUGGUCGGACAUCAGGAGGUUAGUGCAAUGGCAUAAGCCAGCUUGACUGCGAGCGUGACGGCGCGAGCAGGUGCGAAAGCAGGUCAUAGUGAUCCGGUGGUUCUGAAUGGAAGGGCCAUCGCUCAACGGAUAAAAGGUACUCCGGGGAUAACAGGCUGAUACCGCCCAAGAGUUCAUAUCGACGGCGGUGUUUGGCACCUCGAUGUCGGCUCAUCACAUCCUGGGGCUGAAGUAGGUCCCAAGGGUAUGGCUGUUCGCCAUUUAAAGUGGUACGCGAGCUGGGUUUAGAACGUCGUGAGACAGUUCGGUCCCUAUCUGCCGUGGGCGCUGGAGAACUGAGGGGGGCUGCUCCUAGUACGAGAGGACCGGAGUGGACGCAUCACUGGUGUUCGGGUUGUCAUGCCAAUGGCACUGCCCGGUAGCUAAAUGCGGAAGAGAUAAGUGCUGAAAGCAUCUAAGCACGAAACUUGCCCCGAGAUGAGUUCUCCCUGACUCCUUGAGAGUCCUGAAGGAACGUUGAAGACGACGACGUUGAUAGGCCGGGUGUGUAAGCGCAGCGAUGCGUUGAGCUAACCGGUACUAAUGAACCGUGAGGCUUAACCUUACAACGCCGAAGGUGUUU
RNAcentral lists this ribosomal RNA (2928 nucleotides) under Escherichia coli. RNAcentral's name for it is "23S ribosomal RNA". It matches the Rfam family "Bacterial large subunit ribosomal RNA". Lineage: Bacteria; Pseudomonadati; Pseudomonadota; Gammaproteobacteria; Enterobacterales; Enterobacteriaceae. The record is from RNAcentral.